GCUCAGGACGAACGCUGGCGGCGUGCUUAACACAUGCAAGUCGAACGAUGAAGCGGUGCUUGCACCGUGGAUUAGUGGCGAACGGGUGAGUAACACGUGAGUAACCUGCCCUUCACUCUGGGAUAACUCCGGGAAACCGGGGCUAAUACUGGAUACGACCCUCCCUCGCAUGGGGUGGGGGUGGAAAGCUUUUGUGGUGGAGGAUGGACUCGCGGCCUAUCAGCUUGUUGGUGAGGUAGUGGCUCACCAAGGCGACGACGGGUAGCCGGCCUGAGAGGGCGACCGGCCACACUGGGACUGAGACACGGCCCAGACUCCUACGGGAGGCAGCAGUGGGGAAUAUUGCACAAUGGGCGAAAGCCUGAUGCAGCGACGCCGCGUGAGGGAUGAAGGCCUUCGGGUUGUAAACCUCUUUCAGCUCUGAAGAAGCGAAAGUGACGGU
Molecule: ribosomal RNA, 442 nt
Filed under: Arsenicicoccus bolidensis
Lineage: Bacteria; Bacillati; Actinomycetota; Actinomycetes; Micrococcales; Intrasporangiaceae
Description: bacterial SSU rRNA
Rfam family: Bacterial small subunit ribosomal RNA
Source: RNAcentral